UACGUAGGGUGCAAGCGUUAAUCGGAAUUACUGGGCGUAAAGCGUGCGCAGGCGGUUUUGUAAGUCUGACGUGAAAUCCCCGGGCUCAACCUGGGAAUUGCGUUGGAGACUGCAAGGCUAGAAUCUGGCAGAGGGGGGUAGAAUUCCACGUGUAGCAGUGAAAUGCGUAGAGAUGUGGAGGAACACCGAUGGCGAAGGCAGCCCCCUGGGUCAAGAUUGACGCUCAUGCACGAAAGCGU
Molecule: ribosomal RNA, 239 nt
Filed under: uncultured bacterium
Lineage: Bacteria
Description: partial 16S ribosomal RNA
Rfam family: Bacterial small subunit ribosomal RNA
Source: RNAcentral